ACCUAUCUCAGCGCCUUCUCCCUUUCCCGGAUAUUUAUUCUUGAGGCCCCUACACCCCUUCCCACAACCUCGCGCUCUUCCUCUUCCAUAGUUCCACCAAGAUCAAACGCCUGACGUGAACAGCCAUAUGCCAGCCCGCAGAUCUCUCCUUUUUGGAUGGCGCGCGCAGAUCUCUCCUUUUUUUGCAGCGCGCAGAUCUCUCCCGUCGAUGGUGGUUCGUACUUCACUGAAGAGUUUGUCGUUCCCUUUAGCCAUCUCCGGCGAUUCACCAUGGAAGCCAAUUCUGCUUGCCUAGCUCCGUACAAGAUCUUCUUUCCCUCACAGAUAGCAAAUUGGUAAUUGUAAAAAAAUAGGGAUGAGAUGUUUCUACUGAAGUAUUUUCAGGCACCUAUGCAGCUACAGGUUUAUAAUCCAGAUUAUGUAUGUUUGAUAUGCUUCUUCAAAACUGUAAUUUUCAUUUUGCAAAUUAAUUACCAAAUUAAUCAGUAGCACAAGUAGUUCGAUGCCAAAAUCUGUCUGAGCACUUUUAUACGUCUUUCUAUGGAAUUUUGACAGGAUUAAUAUAAAUACUUUUGCCUCUUGAUAACUCUCUUGGAUCAUCACAUUCGUUCUUAACUUCUUAUGAUGACCAAUAACAUAUUACUCGCAGAAGUUUCUCAUAGUACAAAACAAUCUUGGAUUACUACACCCCAUGAAGGAUCACUAUGAUAGUACCUUACAUCCUCAUAGUUCAUGAGCUGGCCACAACUGCUAUGAAAGAACCGUGGCAUCUGAUUUGUGUAUUCCAUGCAUGGUAUUGUUACGGGUGCUUAGGUAGUUGGUAGUUUCUACUCGCCAAAAUUGAAAAGUAUGAUGUUCUGUACUCGGCCUGAUGUUAGUAGAAAAUAACAAGACAUGCAUUCUGAGGUCCUAAUAAUGUUUGUGACC
Long non-coding RNA from Triticum aestivum (bread wheat), 927 nucleotides. RefSeq lists it as uncharacterized. The record is from RefSeq and is a predicted model, not a curated record. Lineage: Eukaryota; Viridiplantae; Streptophyta; Magnoliopsida; Poales; Poaceae. The transcript is spliced from 3 exons.